GAGUUUGAUCAUGGCUCAGAUUGAACGCUGGCGGCAUGCCUUACACAUGCAAGUCGAACGGUAACAGGUCUUCGGAUGCUGACGAGUGGCGAACGGGUGAGUAAUACAUCGGAACGUGCCCGAUCGUGGGGGGAUAACGAAGCGAAAGCUUUGCUAAUACCGCAUAAGAUCUACGGAUGAAAGCAGGGGACCGCAAGGCCUUGCGCGAACGGAGCGGCCGAUGGCAGAUUAGGUAGUUGGUGGGAUAAAAGCUUACCAAGCCGACGAUCUGUAGCUGGUCUGAGAGGACGACCAGCCACACUGGGACUGAGACACGGCCCAGACUCCUACGGGAGGCAGCAGUGGGGAAUUUUGGACAAUGGGCGAAAGCCUGAUCCAGCCAUGCCGCGUGCAGGAUGGAGGCC
This 404-nucleotide ribosomal RNA is filed under the name uncultured microorganism. RNAcentral describes it as "bacterial SSU rRNA". It matches the Rfam family "Bacterial small subunit ribosomal RNA", at positions 9 to 416 of the family's 1533-position model. The record is from RNAcentral.